UUGACGGGGCCCGCACAAGCGGAGGAACAUGUGGUUUAAUUCGAUGAUACGCGAGGAACCUUACCUGGGCUUAAAUGUAGAGUGCAUUUUUUAGAGAUAGAAAUUCCCUUCGGGGCUUUCUGCAAGGUGCUGCAUGGUUGUCGUCAGCUCGUGCCGUGAGGUGUCGGGUUAAGUCCCAUAACGAGCGCAACCCUUAUCGUUAGUUGCCAUCUGGUAAUGCAGGGGACUCUAGCGAAACUGCCACCGUAAGGUGAGAGGAAGGUGGGGGAUGACGUCAAGUCCUCAUGGCCCUUAUGGGUAGGGCUUCACACGUCAUACAAUGGUCGGUACAGAGGGUUGCCGAGCCGCGAGGUGGAGCCAAUCCCUUAAAGCCGAUCGUAGUCCGGAUCGUAGUCUGCAACUCGACUACGUGAAGUCGGAAUCGCUAGUAAUCGCAGAUCAGCAUGCUGCGGUGAAUACGUUCCCGGGUCUU
This 472-nucleotide ribosomal RNA is filed under the name uncultured Sphingobacteriales bacterium. Its description in RNAcentral is "bacterial SSU rRNA". It matches the Rfam family "Bacterial small subunit ribosomal RNA", at positions 910 to 1382 of the family's 1533-position model. Lineage: Bacteria; Pseudomonadati; Bacteroidota; Sphingobacteriia; Sphingobacteriales. The record is from RNAcentral.